GCUGAUAAUCCAGGAAGUAAGCAAAAGCAAUUUAGAAAGGGUCAGAGGCAUUAUUUCUUAAAGUUAACAGCCUUCACUCUAAGACUGGGAUGAGACAUUGUGACAACUGUUCUUAUUGCUGACUUACACAUCUUUGGGUAAGAACUCUGCACUUAGCGAGCUUGUAUUCUUCCUUCUUUUAUUUGGCUAGUCAUUUUGAGCACACCAGCAUCCUUGGAGGCAGUCACAAAGUAUUACCAGAGCAUGGAAUGCCAGCACUCUUCCAGGUGUAGCUUCAAGAGAAUGAUCCAUGGUUUGCCACAAGAAGACAUUCGAGCAGAGAAGCAACAAGCAGCAGCCUGGACAGAGGCUACUGAGGCACACAGGGAAGUGGCUCAGCUCCUCCUAGCAGGAUCCAAGGCAGGAUCCAAGGAAGCAGGUUAAUUUACUGUGAGGCAGAGAUGUGUCCUACUGAAUACUAGGCCCCAUUAACUUAAUAUGCUGUGAAGUUCACACCCUUUGCACUAAAAUAUAGGAAACACAUUAUCUGGCCAGUUAAUUCACCUAAGGAGCUGCAGCAAGUAGAGGCAGGUAUUUUCAACACAAAUAAAAUAAGUUUGGUGUGAAUUAACCCUUGA
This is a long non-coding RNA of Gallus gallus (chicken), 617 nucleotides long. The record is from Ensembl. NCBI's taxonomy places the organism in Eukaryota, Metazoa, Chordata, Aves, Galliformes, Phasianidae.